Molecule: unclassified non-coding RNA, 347 nt
Filed under: Hevea brasiliensis (rubber tree)
Lineage: Eukaryota; Viridiplantae; Streptophyta; Magnoliopsida; Malpighiales; Euphorbiaceae
Source: RNAcentral
GCUCUUCGGACCGGAACAAAAGUAUGUAAUUUUACUACUAGUAAUCACUUUAAUAAUGGUAAAUUUGGAAAAUCAUUCUGAAAAAGAAGAGGUGGUAGUGCCUUGUCAUUGGGAAUUUCCCUAGUAAAAUCCAUUGAACCUGUAGAUGCUUGUCAUGCAUAGAAAAUUAAGUCCUUUGUUUUUUUUUUGGCUUUUUUUUUCUUUUACUUGUAGAGUUUGCUGCAUCAUUGGGGAAAAUGUCAUUAUGACUUUGUGUAGGUCUAGUGCUUGUAUUAAUUUAAUAUUAUAUCUAGGACUAGAAUGCAGAUGAUUAUUUGUUUUAAUAAAAAUUAUUCUGGUAACCUUUU